Molecule: long non-coding RNA, 20184 nt
Filed under: Capsicum annuum
Lineage: Eukaryota; Viridiplantae; Streptophyta; Magnoliopsida; Solanales; Solanaceae
Description: long non-coding RNA (CANN_LNC010599)
Source: RNAcentral
UCUCUGUCUUUGGUGUUUUUUUUCCUCUGUUCUCUGUCCAACAGUAACUAGUUAUAUUUUAGUUUUGAAGUAUAUAAACUGAGCAAGCAAAUUUAGUUUAAAUGGUAUUAAGAGUAUUAAAGCAUCAUGCUUACCUAAUUUCUAACAUACCCACGUUAUCGGAGCAUAGUGGUCUUCAUUUUUUGGGCAAUCAUCGUCAAUCUUCCUACUCGUGAAUAUUCGUUCAACCUACAAUUGAGGUAAAACUUAUAAUUACAAAGUUAUGCAGAAACUAUAAUGAGGUUGGUGUGAAUUGUACUAACUAAACAACUAAAAUUCCUUGAAAAUGUUAGUAUUAAUUGUUGUCGUGGUGACAAUCUCCAUGUAUUACAGUGUUGUAAACUCUACAUUGUGUCUUGAUCAUAAUUAUUUUUACCUUUAUUUUUUGGUUGAAUAGACCUUUGAACCAUAAAGUAUUCAUUUACUAGAUGAGUUAGUAAUGAGGUCUUAAUUUGAAUAGGCCUUACAGAAGUAUUUUUUAUUCUCAAUAUGAUGGCAGUUUACAAAGUGGAACCACUGAUCGAAGCGCUACACGUUUAACUUGGAUUUUGAGAAUUAUAAUGAGGAGACUUAUAUAACUGAAAAAUUCUCUUAGUCUCCUGUAGCUGGUAAUUUCAUUUGUAUUCCUAAGUUGGUUCUGUAGACUGGAUUAUAAGUGUUGAGAGCAUCUAUGAUUGUAGCUUAUUAGUCCUCCCUUUACAUGAAAGAUAUAUUUGCUCUGAUUGUAUAUUUACAUGGUUUUAGUUAGAUCUUCUGCAUUUACUAGCAGAUCUCGAAAGUUAGACUUUUUUUUAAUGAAAUAAUUUGCCCCAUUUUUGCUACCCUGCUGCAAAUAGAUUUCUUUUGAGCUGAGGGUCCGUCGAAACAACCUCUAUACUAUGUAAAGAUAGAGAUAAGCUAGUGCGUACAUCUUACCCUCCCCAGACCAACUUGUGGGAUAUCACUUUUAAGUCGUUAUGGUUGUGGUCCUUGCAGAAGUGUUGGGAAAGUUGGUCCCAUUUGAUAAAUUAAUGAAUCAUCAUGCUCUAAUUUUUCACUUUCAGUUAGCCAAAUAAAGGGUAUUUUAAAAUUUUGUUUCCUUGGCCACAAACCAUAUAGUACUUAAAAUAUAUUUCGAAAAAACAGAGAAAAUUGACUUAACGGUCUUCAUAAUCAUUUGCCAUUUUAUAUGUAAAGUUUUUCCUUUAUGCUCGGUAGUUUAAGCUUUAUUUACCAUCUCUCACACGGUCACACAUAGUAUCUUUACAUUUUGUAUCAUUUAACUUCAUUUGUGUCAUUGACCACGUCGUACUUUAAACUCUUGAACGAAUGUCAAUUUUUAAUCUAAGAUCAUUAUUCUUGUAUGUUGCCUCAGGGUUAAAAAACUAAAGGGUUUAUAACGUGUCCAAAUUCUCUUUAAACGAAGAAAAUGGAAAGCACAUGUUAAAGGACCAAAUUAUUUAAAAUAAAUAACUAGAAGGAGAUGCUAAUGGGAGAUGUGAAAAGAUAUUAGAUGGCAUAGUCAUGAAAAAGUUACUCUCUUGGGUAUCUUGAAAAACAUUUAACCCAUCUUUUACGUAUUUAACCCCUUCAAUCGUAUGUUGUUCAACAUUUUCCUUUGAUGAUAUGUUUAACCCACCUUUUAUAUAUGUAACCCCUUCAAUCGUGUAUUGUUCAACAUUUUCCUCUGAUUAUAUAUUGCACAAUAGUUCUCCUUAAAAAUAAUUGAUGAAAGUCAGCCGUGUAACACCCCAACUUAGAAAGGAGUCCCACAUCGGCAAAACACAGGAGAGAUGUUGGCUAAAUAAGUGAGAAAGCCUUACUUCCUAGUGAUGUGUUUUAAAGCCGUGUGGGCCUAGGCCUAGAGCGGACAAUAUCACUAGUGGGAUUGGGAGUGGCAGGGGUAUCUCGAGCCUGUGUGGUUCGGGAUACCCGUCGCGGCCAGGGCCUUGGGUCAGGUCAUGACAUCAAAGCUUCUCCUGUAUCAUCCUUGUUGAUGUGGGCCAGAGUUCAAACUGAGUGUAGGCAAAUCCCGGUAAGGUGGUGUAAACCUCAGUCCUGAGUUUUAGGCAAAUCUCAUUCGGUGGGGCAAACCUCAACGAGGACGCUGAGUCCAUAAAGGAGAAAGAAGUCCCACAUCGGCAAAACACAGGAGGGAUGCUGGUAUAUAAGUGAGAAAGCCUUACUCCCUAGUGACGCGUUUUAAAGCCGUGUGGGCCUGGGACCAGAGCGAACCAUAUUACUAGUGGGUUGGCAAAUCCCAUUUGGUGGGGCAAACCUCAGCGAGAACGUUGAGUCCAUAAGGGGAGUGUAUGUAACACCCCAACUUAGAAAGGAGUCCCACUUCGGCAAAACACAGGAGGACGCUGAGUCCAUAAGGGGGGUGUAUGUAACACCCCAACUUAGAAAGGAGCAAAACACAGGAGAGAUGCUGGGUGUAUAAGUGAGAAAGUCUUACUCCCCAGUGAUGCGUUUUAAAGACGUGCGGGCCUGGGCCUAGAGCGGACAAUCUCACUAGUGGGUUGGGGAGUGGAAGGGGUAUCUUGGGCCUAUGUGGUUCGGGAUGCUCGUCGCGGCCACGGCCUCGAGUCAGGUCAUGACAAGCCAGGUGCACUAAACUCUACUAUCCAUGGGAUCUUGGAAUUUUUGCAAGAUUCUUUUUCUACAAGUUGAAAUUCUAACUUCCCAAUUACAUUACAAUAAAAACUUAAUCAGUUGCACCAAGUAAAUUCUAACUUCCCAAUUACAUUACAACAAAAACUUUAUCAGUUGCACCAAGUAAAGUUUUAAAAUACAGGUAAUUUAUCUAAUUUAAAAUUUUAAAAUAUAGGUAUGAUCAUACGAUUUGUUGAAAAUGAAGGUGAAAUCUGUAAGAAAAUUAAAAGAUAAUCAACCGAUUGAUCAUUGAUUUUUGUGAUGUCAAGAUUCUCCCUUUACAAAUUUAUCACACCGACAAUUUUAUGAAUUUAUAUGUUACAUUUUAGACUAAUACUCUUAACUUUGUUUCCUAUUCUAAUUAAGAACUUCGCAAUAUCAACAAGUUACAUUAGUAGUGUUCUAAUCAAUUCAACAUUUAAAAAAGGUUAUGGAUCUCCUAAAUUGAUAUUUUUAAUUUUUUCCAUUUCUCUAUUACCUCAUCCUUUGGCCUGCUAGCAUGUUGAAUUUUGUAAUUAGCCCGAUUUACGUAUCAUUAUAAUAUGAGGUUUUUGAGUUAGGAAUAUCGACUGAUAAGUAAUUGAGUAUUGACUGUUAUUUAGCUUCUUUGUUUCAUGCAUAGUUUUAGACUCUGUUCCACUCAUGCACUUCAACCGAGCACUAUAAUCAUCUUCUCCCUCCUCCUCCCUACCCCCACCCCCCAAAACCUUCCCUCAAUCCCCCAUUUUACUCUUCGUAUAUCCACCUUGCAAUUUGUUUAUUUUCGAUUGAUGGAGGCUUUGGCUGAAAGAAGAACUUCACAUGAUUAAUUCUACAUUGUACUUUCAAGACAAAAUAAUAAUGUGAAAAAAGAACUUUUGGGACGACAAAGCAAUUGAAACAGAUGAAAGAAAUGUGUCACGACCCGAACCGAGGCCCUGGCCAUGACGAACAAUCCGAACCAUGAACGCCCAGACGCCCAUCUAACUUGUAAUCACAUACACCAUUCAUAUACAGAAAAGAAAUGCCCAUUCAUAUACAGAAAAGAAAUGCGGAAAUAUAACUGAGUAUGGGAUCAUGGUGAUGCUCUGAAAUCAACAAAAUGUUAAAGACUGUAAUUCAACAAUAUCUAAAGUAAUAUCUAACUCCAUCUGUGAAACCUCUACUACAUAUGAAACAAAGAUGUCUGAAAACUGGGACAAGGCCCCAGUAGACCAAAGCCAUAAAUAAAUGUCUGAAAUUUAAAUAGGUCUUCUGAAACAUAGAAGGCUCACCAACUGAACUCUACACUUCUGUCUGGAAAGAUCUACUGCUCAGCCGGACCGCUAGACUGAGCCUCAAACCCUGAGAGGUAGGGGUCAAUACAGUUGUACUGGUAUGCAGAGCAAACCCAAAAUAAUAUUUGAUAUCAACAUAUAUGAGAGAAAUUUAAAAACGGUUCAUAAAUAUGUCACAUAGUAAAAGUCACAUGGGCGUGGUUAGAAGACUCUAUAAAACUAUCUGAACUCUGUGACAUACUCUUUGUUUUACUUCUGCACUAGGUGGUAUACCCUACAAUUCUGUAAUUCCAUGAGAAAUAUGGAAUCUGUCCUUAACACGGCAGACAAGCCUCCAACCCAAGUUUGCUGCAAGGGUCGGAGUCUCUGAAUCUCUACUAUGCCAUAGGGUCGUCGCCAGCGUACAAAAGUAACAUACCCAUAUCGGCAAAAUACGGUUUUUGGCUAUGAGUCAAUUGACUCGUGCCCUCUUCGAGUAACCACCUAACCCUCUUUAAGCCCAUUUUUAAUUCUUUACAACAUGCAAUCUUUGAAAAUCAAACUCUGAAGACUCUAGUUCUGUUAUGGCAUAUAUUUACAUGGUAUCGUCAUACCAUUGACUUCCAAGUCACAUUCUCUGAGCCAUUUAUAGAAAAUUAUGUCUCUAUUCUCAAAUCAUGGAAUUCAAGACCACCAUAUCAACAAUUCUUUUCAAGAAACUCAUUCUUUAAAACUCAUGUGAAACCAAGCAAGCAAUUCUCUUUAUCAACGAUUCAAUAAACAAAGGUGGUCAUGUCAAAAUUCUUAAUUUCAUGCAAUUCUUUAUCUUUAACACAAAACAUAGAUAUCUCAAGAAACACCCACUCGUCAUCUCUAAAUCAUGUUCAAAUACUAUGACAUUUAGAAGACUACUUUCACAUUGUAAAACAUACAUUUCAACUCUUUUCUGACAAAACCAUAAACUUUAAUUCAAUACACGAGAGGAAAUUCAUAAUUUGUUCUCUCAAACAAUCUCAAAUCUCAAUUUUCAUUCAUAUACAUAUACAUGUAAAUCAAUUUAAGGGAAAAUACCACAAUGCCAAAGCAAUAGUAACUUUGAAACAUUCAGAAUACAUAAUUUAAAUAUAGAUAGAACCAACAGCCACAUAAGGGGUCACAUAUGACAGGGUAGACCCGGGAUCAAGUAACACAUAAACAUCAGAAAAAAGAUUUACAAUGAACCAGUAACUACAUUUGGUAAGGCCUCUGCCUCUUGGCGGUUGGUUAAGUCGUACAACUGGUUGUGGCAGUUUUCGGCGGCUAAAGUGGCACCCUUCUGAAGCGGUGGUGGUGCAGAAGAAUUAGCAUGUGACUUGGCUCUACCAACAUUACCCUUUGCUACCGGACAUUCUCUCUGGAUAUGGCUUGGUUGGCCGCAUGAAUAACAAAUCAUAGAGCCAAACUGACAUCUCCCUGGAUGAUUCCUCCCACAUUUCUCACUACGCAUGUAUGUUCGAGAGGUCUGAUCUACACUUCCUUGAGACUGCGAACCCUGCUUCCUCGGCCUCUGCCUAUAUUAAAAAUAUUGAGUGCGCUGUUCGGCUGGGGUCCUGGUCACCAGCGCACUAGCUAUAGACUGCGUAUUACUAAUUCUUCUUCUUUUGCCAUUUAUUACCCCAAUUCCCACUCUGCUGUUGACUGUAGCUCUGGUAUAUAGUUUUAGAUCUCUUUCCCNNNNNNNNNNNNNNNNNNNNNNNNNNNNNNNNNNNNNNNNNNNNNNNNNNNNNNNNNNNNNNNNNNNNNNNNNNNNNNNNNNNNNNNNNNNNNNNNNNNNNNNNNNNNNNNNNNNNNNNNNNNNNNNNNNNNNNNNNNNNNNNNNNNNNNNNNNNNNNNNNNNNNNNNNNNNNNNNNNNNNNNNNNNNNNNNNNNNNNNNNNNNNNNNNNNNNNNNNNNNNNNNNNNNNNNNNNNNNNNNNNNUUUCCCUAUUUUAGAUUCAUCAACUCUGCAGCUUUGGACUCCCUCAACUCGAGAGGAAAGAACCAAUUGAGGAAGACUUCCACAAACUCAGCCCAAACUGUGGUCUUGGUAUGCUCACUCUUUGAAUCUUUCCACUCAUUAUACCAUUGGUUCGCUACAUCCUUAAGCUGGUAAGCUACUAACUCAACCUUCUCUACCUCAUCUACAUGUAUCACCUUAAGGAUCUUCUCCAUGUCGUCCACAAACUCUUCUACCUUGGUACCAGUAAACUUGGGUGGGUGCAUCCUCAUGAAAUGGCCCACUCUUGUAGCCUCAGAUGUAAAAGAUGCAGACCCAAUAUCUUCCGACCAUUGAGUCUGUGUGGCUACCAACUAUGCAAGCAUGUAAAUGGACUGUCUGAAUUCUGCAUUAUAUACUUCUCUCUCACGAGGCUGAGUACAGUUAGUCCCCAUUUGGGGAGCUCUAGGUGCCCUAGGUGGGCUGGUCUGAGUAAGUAGGACUCUUAGAGUAGUAUCAAUCUCUGAAGUUUGAGCUCUAUUUCGGGUCCUCAUCCGAUGAGUAGGACGUACCUCAUCUGUCUGAGUAUUCUGAUCGUUAGUACGACGGGUAGGUAUGAUUGUUUUUCUGAAAUGCAAGAGAUCACGGAUUAGACUCCAAAGCACGAACUAAAUUACAAAGAGGGGAAACAUUCCUAAAUGCCUAGUAGCCUCCUGAUUAUAAGUGUGGCACUCUACACACCAAUAAAUAAGAUUCUACCCGACGCAAUUUUGCAGACACCCUAGGACCAUGAACCAUGCUCUGAUACCAAGUUUGUCACGACUCGAACUAGGGUCUGGCCGUGACGGGCAUCUCGAACCAUGAAGGCCUAGGCGUCCUACUCUAUCUAGUAAUCAUGCACAAUAUUAACAUAAUAAAAGAAGAUGCGGAAAUAUAAUCUGAUAUAGAAACAUGGUCAUACUCUGGAUUUAGUUUAACAAUAAGGAAUGAAAUCCGAACUCAACUAAACAACAUCUAGAAUAGUCUGUGAAAUCUCUAAUACAUGAAAAUCUGAUAACUAUCUGAAAGCUGGGACAAGGUCCCCAGUAGACCUAAAGAACGGAAUAACAUAAUUUGAAAUAACAGGCCUUCUGGAACAACGAAGGCUCACCACUGCACAGAUCACUUCUCUCUGGGAUACUCUACUGAUUAACCGGACCCUUAGACUGAGCCUCCGAACCUGGGAGGUAGGGGGUCAAUAAAGAUGUACUAGUAUGCAGAGCAAAUCCAAAAUAAUAAUUUAUAUUCAACAUAUAUGAGAGCAAUUUAAAAACAGUUCAUAAACAUAUCAUAUAGUAAGAAAUCUCAUGGGCAUUUCUGAAAAAGUCUGAAAGAAAAUCAUCUGAACUCUGAGACAUUCUUUGUUUUACUUCUACGCUAGGUGGUAUACCCUACAACUCUAAAAUUCCACGGGCCAUAUGGAAUCCGCCAUUGACUCGGCGGGGAAGCCUCCAACCCAAGUGUUUCGCAAGGGUUGGAGUCUCUGACUCUGCUAUGCCACACGGCCGUCGCCAGUGUAAAAAUAAUAUACCCGGAUCGGCAAAUCACAAUUUUAGGAUAAGAGUCACUUGAGCUGUAGCCCUCUUCAAGCAACCACCUAACUCUCUUUAUGCCCAUUUUUUAACUCUUUAAGACAUGCAUUCUCUGAAAACAUACUCUGAAAACUCUAACUCUGUUAUGGAAUAAAUUUUUAUGGUAUCGUCAUACCAUUGACUUGCAAGUCACAUCUCUGAUCCAUUAUUAGCAUAUAAUAAUCUCUAUUUCAAAACGUAAAUCUGGGACCACCACAUCAAUAAAUCAUUUCAAGAAACUCUUUCUUAAAGCUCAUGUAAACAUAUGCAAGAAAUUCUUUUUUACCAUUUCAAAUACACAAGGUGGUCAUGUCAAAGAUAUCAAUCAUAUGCAAUUCUUUCUUUGUAAGAAAAGGACGAACUCAUAACAAGAAACUCCCUCUCAUCAUCAUAAAAAUCAUGUUAAAUACUUAAAUGUUGAAAAGAUCCCCUUCAAAACAUUAAACAACCAUCUCAAAUCAUUCCCGACAAGUUCAUCAACUCUAAAUCAUCAAAGAGAGGGGUUUCCAUAAUAAUGCUCUCAAUCAAAUCUUCAACAUCAAUUUUUUUAACAGCAAUCAUUAAUAAAUUACUGGACGUUGACUAAUAAACUGACUUUUUCCUCACAUUUAAUCCAUUCAUCUAACCUUGCUCAUGAGCUUUAUAACGAUAAACAACUUUCUAUAGGAGUUAUAAAAUGUAUCCCUCUUCAAAAACUUCAUGAAUGCAUAAUUCACCAUUGUACUCCUUCAUGCGGUCUUUUUACAACGCUUUAUAUCGAAAGUGAAUUUCACCCCACAGGUUCAAACACUUAAACUAAGCAAGAUGUGCAACCACUUGCAUUUUAGUAUACCAUUUUCCUCCUCAGACGUGCUCUUUGUUCAAGCAAGCAAACAACUAGUGAGAGUCGAAAUGGAAUAUCAUAUGUAGUGUUGAAUUCAAUCUGAAACUCUUAUGAACAAGCGAGGAAUGAAUUACCACAAGCUCCGCUUAAGCGUUCGACAUACAUUUAUGCUAUCCCGAUAUUUUUUUUCUGUUAAUGAAUACUGACAUGAAUUGAACAUUUGUUGAAUGGCAGAACAACGAUCAAAUCACAAAACAUAAACUUCAGCCAAAAUCCAACAAAAACAACAUCCAAAUUACAGUCACUUUUCAGCAAAAACAAUAGCUGAAUUCCAGCAAAUACACUAUCGAAAUCGCAGCCAUUUUAAGUAAAAUAUAACAACUAAAUUCCAACAAAAAGAUCACCCAAAUUCAGAAAAAAUAAUAUCCAAGUUGCUGUCAUUUUUAUCAAAAAGAGACAGUCAAAUCAAAAUUACAGCAGCCAAACAAUUUCAAGAUCCAGCACUAGCAAAAACAGCAUACAGAGUGAGCCAUUUUAACCCCAGAAUGUAGAUUCAUUUUCUUGUGUACAUUGAGAACUUUCCCAAGAAAAAUAUGUUUCAAUGUCUACUUCGCUAUCUCCCAUUUGUACUUGUUCCACUUCAUUCCAUCCUCUUCUAACCUGAAAAACAAUAACAAGUAUAAUGUUAUGCCAAAUUCAACUUAUUAAAUUAAAAAUCAAAGCUACCAUAAAAUCCGACAUUACAUGUAAUUUUUGAUGAAAUGAAGAGGUAGUUUCUGGUGUCACAGUGUAGUAACCACAAGUUCCUUUAUUAUGGCUAGGUUUGUGACGUGCUGCAAUUUAGAGAGUCCUGCUUUCGUUUCAUCUAUGUUUGACUAGCUCCAACUUCAUCUUCUUCCUUCUUUUGCAACUUAGGUUUUCUUCCUUUCUUCUUAACUUUUGUAAUUUUUGGAGGAAGGGGAGGAAGUUUACUUGACUUAGGCCACAUUUGUCGUCCAUUCAUUGGAAGAACUGAUUUUUCAUAAAUUCUCCUAUAUGUUUCCACCUUGUAACAAUUGUGAACUUAGUCAAGAAUGUUAUUUUUUUUUGCCCAAACUGCCGCAAUAACAUGCUUGCAAGGAAUUCCGGUGAGACUCCAUUUCCUACAACUACAAGUUUGGUUCUUCAAGUCAACUAUCCAAUUUUCCAUAAUUGUAGCUCCCAAGAUUUCAUAGCUCCAAUGAUUAGAUCUUCUAGGGAUAUAUUCAGCAGCUGCAAUCUGAUUCUUGUGUAAUAUAUCCUUGAUCCCAGGACAAACAUCUCCCAAUUUCCAUUUUUGUGCUUUUUCUCUAUUAGCUUGUAUUCUAGCCAUGAGAAGAUACCGCAACUUCUCCAAAAGUGUCACAAUUGGCUUGUCUCUAGCAUCAAGUAUCAUGCUAUUAAACACUUCACACAAAUUAUUUAACAAAAUGUCACACUUAACAUCUGAAGAGAAAUGCGAUCUUGACCAUUCACUAAGUUCUUUUUCAUUUAACCAAGUAGCAGCAUCAAGAUCUAACUUUGAAAUAUUCUUCAUGCAGUCAUCAAACCUUUUGACAGUACUAGCCUUUGCAGCAGCCCAAAGUUCUUUUUUUAAUGUGACACCGCCAAAGCCAGCAAUUUUAAAAUUGUUAUGAAGGUGUCUAACACAGUUGCUGUGACUCACAUAAGGUAAGACAUCAUUAAAUGCUUCAAUAAGACCUUUUUGCUUGUCAGACAUAAACGUCCAACCAUUCUCACCUAUACACAAAUCAGCAUUCAAAUAAUUUAAAAACCAAUUCCAUGUCUCUUUACUUUCCUUUACUACAAUCGCAUAUGCAACAGGAAAUAUAUUGUUGUUACCAUCAAGGCCAACGACGGAUAAUAGUUGAGUCCCAUAUAUUGGACCUUUCAACCAACACCCAUCCAUGCCUACUAUUUUUCUACAACGCGCUCUAAAGCCAAGCUUACAGGCAGCAAAACAGAUAUAGAUUCUUUGAAAUCUCUGUGGCUCAUUGGGGACCUCAUUGUCAUUAAGCUUCAUGUAUAUUGUGCUUCCUGAAUUUGUUCUAUUAAUCUCAUUGCAAUACUCCCACAUCAUUUUGUAUUGAUCUUUAAUAUCACCAUCAAUUAAUGCAAUCGCUUUCAUCUUAGCUCUUUUAGCUUGAGAUAAGGUCACAUGAGCUCUUAGUUCAAUACUUUAUCCCGAAAUUCUGCCACACUCCAAUUUCUAUUCGAUGCAACUUCUUUGAGGUACUUUCUUGCAAUGAAAGAUGAAGUGAUCAUCCUAUUUUCAUAAUGCCACUCCUUACAAGUAUGUACGGGAUCAUAAGUUCGAACCUGGAAAGCCUUGUCUCUUUGCAUUUUUGAAGCCUUGAUUUUCCAUUUGCACUCUGGAUGAUGUAUGCAAAUUGCUUCCACUCUUAAAUUAUCAUUCCUACACCAUUGAAUAGACUUUCCAUUCUUAAUCUCAUGAGUUGCUACAGAAUUUUUAAAGUCCAUCUUUGUAUCAAAGACAUAUUCGAGACCUAAUACUGGGUUAUCUCCAUCGGUCUUUGGAUUGUGCUGAGGAAAAUUGAAACUUUCUGUAACAUCUCACACUUUGUAACUUGUGAAGUACCUUCGAGGGAAAAUUUGUCCUUUCCUUUUUACCUUUACCCCAAGUGAUUAAAUUCCUUUUUAUUCAUCAGUAUUCAAACGCUUGUUUUUCCUCUGGCAGACAUUAUUUCAACAUGUAGUUCUUUAUUUUUCCAUCAGUUACAGUCUCUUUGUUUGCCUCACUUACUCACAUUAAAAAAUCCAUCAAUUACAAUCUCUCUGCCUUCCUCAAUUACACACAAUAAAAAAAACUGUAAUUUCUCCAACAGUUAUACAAACUAUUUCAUCAUCCAGAAUUCCAGCUUUCCUAUCAAAUCAAUCAUAAAAAAAAAAAGAAAUCCGAGAGAAUUGGCUGAAGGAUCAAUCUUAGUUUCAUCCCUUCCGGUAAAUAACUUCUCUAACGUUUCGAGGUAUGUAAGAUUAUUUCUUUUAUGUUAUCUCUUGGUUUUGUUUCUCCUCAAAUUAUGAUUACUUUCAAAAUAAUGAUGAUGGAAGGAGUUUUAAAAAUCUUAGUCCAUUAAUCGAGUCCCCUGUCCCAAGUUACUUGGAAAGAUUUUUUUUUUUUAAAAAAAUAUCUUGGUCCAUUAAUCUUUUCUAUGGAUACUCGAUAUUAUGUGAAUUAUAUUUAUUGUACAAGUUGCUGCAAGAGUUACAAAUCCAUAGCCAAUUAACACUCCUGGCUAUCUCGAAAUAGAAUCAAGCAAAGCUAAACCAUACUACUAGCCUUUGAAUCAGUCCUCAUAAUAUAGCCGUAUGACUUCUAGCUCUACGAAUUAAUUCAUGAAUGUCUUUAUUACCUUAAGAUAUGAUAUCCAAACUCAUAAGCUAUGCUAAAAACAACAUGUACAUUCCAAAGGCUCACUCCUGAUAAAGUUACGAAAAUCCUUCACUGAUGAAUUAAUUUGACUUAAUGAAUUAUGAUUCUACCACCCAUGAGUCCUAAUGAUGAUAAUACUUGAUUAUGAGUUUAAGGUGGCUUAAUCUCAAAUAUGAACCCAAGUUGGUUAAUUCUCAGGCAUGAGCAACCAUGAAUAUGAGCCUAAUAUGGCUAAUCUAUGAACAUGAAUCAGUAAGAUAACAUUAUGAGCAUAAGGGAGUUGGUCAGUUGACCGUGAAGGCAUAGGUCUAAAUGACAAAUGCCUGAAACUAUGUUUGCCGACAUAGGAUAAAGAUCAUUUCGCAAGCGGAUGACUCUUUUUUUGAUGUGUGCCGAAAAGGGGCUAACUAUGGAUACUUGCUAGAAAAUUAUGUCAUGUCACGUCCUAUGCCCUGCAAGGUAUAGGACGGCUAAGAUGAUUGGGCCGAGAUCAGAAUUCAUGCACUAACAUGGUGGUUUAUGAUGGUUCACUACUUUCUCCCACAAAUAAUCAAAGCAAUUAAAUCUACCUUAAUUGGUCAAUUAUAAAUUUAGUUUAUAUUCUUGUUCCUUUCCAGUUGUCCUCUUUUACGUUUGAUUUUAAUUGUCAUUUCUAAUCUCUUGAUGUACUACCCUCCUAAAAUGGUUUUGCAUGCCAAUACAUUCCCCGUAUUGACCGCCUUUGGCGCUACAUCAUUUCAUGAUGUAGGUUCUGGCUCUCAUGUCCGCGGUCAGGCGCCUCAUUAGGAUCUCUAUCUUCUACUAUUGGUGAGCGUCUUUCCUAUUAGGAAGUUGGACGAGAUAUGAUGACUUCAUUAUAUUUUCUUUUCUUUUAGUAUUGGUACUUAUUAGAGGCUUCACAGGAUUUAGUUGCUAGACAGAUCUUGUAAUUUUUAUUAUAUUUGUCAUGACUAUUGUAUCUUCAGACGUUAAGUGAUAUUAAUGAACAUUGAUGAAAGACUUAAUCCUUUAAGAAAUCUUAUUCUAGUCUAUUUCUUCUUUAUUCAUUAUCUGUAUGCUCAUGUGAUAUGCCAAAACGUUCGCUCGUACUAGCAAUAGUAUCGGGUGUGUGCCGCGUCUAGGGCCUCGGCUCGGGGCGUGACAAACUUAGUAUCAAAGCACAGAUUUCAAGUGUCCUAGGGUAUCUAUGAAGCCAUGUCUAGUAGAGUCCUUUUUAUGAGUGUGUAGUGCACCACACUUAUAAUGAGGAGGCUACUGGCCAUUUAGGAGAACUUUUUCGUUCUUUCAUAUUCUAGACCGUACGAUAAAAUGGUGCCAAAAAAAUGACUUACUCAAAUUCGUGCGUUUCUCACAUUUCACUAUCUUCUCCUCAUCUUUAAGGUAGUAGGAGUUAUGAAACUCAUAUCCUUAUCAACUGACCACACAAGGGCUUUUUAGUAGCCCAUUAGUCUAUUUGGGUCUAUAAAUUCAAAAAAAAAAACUAAUAAUCUUGUUCUUAUAAAACGUGCUUUUAAGCUAUAGUAAGAUUGUUCUCCCAGGCCAUCUGCAAAGACUUAUUCCAGAUGACACCCUUAACGGGGGAAGAGUGUGUCUAGACUCUUAGAUAGUGUUGUACCCGAGAGAUAUUGCUAUUUGGGAUUUUUUGUGGUAUUCCAUAGGUAGUAAUAUAAUCUCAAGUUCGAAAAGAUGAAGUCAUCAGAGUAGAAGAUGAAAGUGAGGAUAGCAAUUGAUUGGAGUAUGUAGCAACAGUUGUAUUUAUUAAGCGAGAAAUGGGAUGGAAUGUCCUUUGGUGUUGGCUAGGGUGUAUCAAGACUUGAAAAAUUUUAUGAUAGUUAAUAGAGGAAGAAUGGUUGGUUAAGACAACUUAGAGUAUACUUUGUUUAAGAAAGAAGUUUAUUAUUUCUUAAGUUUAUGUUAGUAAGGAAUGAUAGUAAUGUUGUGAAGGAGAAUGUGUUUGUAGGCUAUGAGACAAAUGGUGUGAUUUAGAUUGGCUAUGUUGUCAUGAUACCUGAAUAGAAUAGUGGUUAUUGAUUUUUUUAUAACAUACAGUUUGAAUUAGUAUUAUCAGAUAGUGUUGCCAUCCGUGUUUAGUAGACACUAAGCUUGAGCUUUAGACAACCACAAUGAUGAAUGAAUAGCGGUAUAAGGGUGAUAGCACUAGUUUUGGAAAAUAGAUCUAGUGCGCUUAAUUUUUUCGUGUUGAAGAUCUUAAGUUUGAUAAUUUAGCAAUAGUGUGAAUCUGCAAAAAAAUAAUACAUAUGUGGAAUAGAAGUGAAACAGUGAACUGUAGCUAAGUCCUUAGAUAAAGAAGGGCCUUAAGUUAUAUGAAAAUAAAGGUGCACCCGAGGUAGUAUGUUACUAUAUAAGAUUCUAAGUUAUUUAGUGCUAUGUGAUCCUAGUUAGUACCCUUGAGUCUCUAAGUGUGGAGAAGCCUAGUUAUGUAGUAUGGGGAGCUCUUGAGAGUUGAAUUGAGAGUAUUAUAAAUGGAUGAUGUUGAGCCUUUUCGUCAAUUUUAAUUUCCAUUGGAGUGGGUGGAUAAAAAUUUAGGGGUGUGAUGUUAGUAGAUUAAGAAGGGAAGAUCAGGUAUAGAAGAAGUGGUUAUGUAUACCAAUGAGACCACAAAUUAUAAAAUGAUGUCUACAAAGUUUAGAGAAUGUUAAGAUAAGUAUCUUAGGAUGAAUUCCUAGCAAGGGUUGCAUACCUAAAGAUAUAGUAUUCAGAGGAGUAAGGUGAUGAUAGCUUAGAUUUGAGAAUAGGUCUGCAUACUUUAAAUAUUGACUUUGACCUAAGGGGAAGAUGAUAGGGUAAAGAAAAAAAUGGGUCUUGAGAUGCAGAUAGUAAGGGUUUUCAGAAAAGAGAGAUGACGAGUUUCACUACCAUUCAAUCUUAUUCUAGCGUAUUUCAUGACUUCAGCCAAGAUGACACUCUACCCAUGAGUUAUGCAUUCAUAUCGUGCCUAUGUCUAAGAUCCAAAUUUUUAUGUGCAAAGUCAUGUCCAUGUUAUAACCCUAGAAUAGGAAACAAUAACUUCACACCACGAUCCUAAUAUUACUCUAAGGUUCUAGAAGUCCAGGUUCUGUGCUACGUUGUUCCUGAACCAAAAACACAUGCUUACGAUAGGUUCAGUUCUAAGAAACCAAACUUUAUGAUAUGUUCUUAGCUUGUGCUAUGUUAUCCCCAUUCCCGAAUGACUCUUUAUUCACACCUUAUGUGUUUUGGUACAUGAAGUAUUUGCUCCUAUUAGACAUAAACAGUAUCCGUUCUAUUCCUGGUGCUCUUAUUCUAGACUUUCAGUGGUAUUCCUUAUGUCAUGGCAGUGGUAUGAUAUCAAUGCAUGAGUAAUGGUUGGAUAGGAACAAGUAGAUGUUUCUUGUUAUGAUGAUUGCGGUGUACUAGUUCCAUUUAAGAUCAUAAGUAUGGAUGAAGUGCGAGAUGACGAUUAGAUAUUUGUAAUAGUAAGAUGAGGUCAUAUGGUUUGCCUCCUAGUAGGAAUUCAUGAAAUUGUGGGUCAAGGGGUUCUAGGGAAGACGAGGAAGAUUUUUCUUUUUAUAUAAUGUUAACUUUAAAGAUAUCAUGAAGUGGUUAUGGUGAUAGACUUGGAUAUCAAGUUGAUACCUAUAUGGGUAAAUGCAUAAUGAAAUUUGUGAGUUCUUAAUUAGAGCACGAGGAUGGUAGUUUUUGCAAUGAGAAAAAGUAGUAUUCUUAGAGAUAACUGUAGAUGCAAGCAAGAGCUUCCUGAGUUUUAGAACAAACCUAAGAUAAAGUGAACAAUAAAGAUGAAUGUUCCUAAAAGGGGAAAUACAUUAUAGGAUUUUAAAAUUUAGACUAGCAUGAUUGUUUUAGGUGUGACAUCUUGUACCUCUGAGUUAGGCUUGAAUAUGUUAAGAAUGUGUAAUUAGAAUCAGACUUUAGUAUAUGUAUAUGUCCAUGUGAGUUGGAAAUAAUGAAGUGUCGUAUUCAGAGGGAAAAGGGGUAGCUUCGAAAGGUGUUGCUAAGAUCUAAGGAUACAAAUAUUAGAGGUGAAAAUGCUCCUAUUCCUAUGUGUAAUGUACCACUGUUUCAUGUCAUAUAACUUCUUAUCGAAGGGAACUUAUGUCCAAGUCUUCAUUAUGUCCUUCAUGCUCUGUGAAACCAAAUCAGAUAACUAAAAUACCCCUAUGGCUCAUGCCUAUGAUUUCAAUGAAUUCAAACCUUAAGUUGGUAUGUUCAUGUCCCUUCAAACCCAUGUCCUAUGUCAUGUCUGGUUAACUCUCAUUCCCUAGUUUUUGCGCGUAGAGUUUUUUUUCAUAUGUCUAUAACCUUCAUUUGAGGACGAAUGAUUCCAAGGGGGAGAUAUUGUAACAUCUCACACUCAGUAACUUGUGAAGUACCUUCGAGGGAAAAUUCUUCCUUUCCUUUUUACCUUUACCCCAAGUGAUUAAAUUCCUUUUUGUUCAUCCGUAUUCAAAUUUUUGUUUUUCCUCUAGCAGAUAUUAUUUCAGCAGAUAGAAGUUCUUUAUUUUUCCAUCUGUUACAAUCUCUUUGUUUUCCUCACUUACUCACAUUAAAAACUCCAUCAAUUACAAUCUCUCUGCCUUCCUCAAUUAAUUACACACAAUAAAAAAAACUGCAAUUUCUCCAACAGUUAUACAAACUAUUUCAUCAUCCAGAAAUCCAGCUUUCCUCUCAAAUUCAAUCAUAAAAAAAAAAAGAAAUCCGAGAGAAUUGGCUCAAGGAUCAAUUUUAGUUUCGUCCCUUCCGGUAACUAACUUCUCUAACGUUUUGAGGUAUAUAAGAUUAUUUCUUUUAUGUUUUCUCUUGUUUUUUUUAUCCUCAAAUUAUGAUUACUUUCAAAAUAAUGAUGGUGGAAGGAGUUUUAAAAAUCUUAGUCCAUUAAUCGAGUCCCCUGUCCGAAGUUACCUGGAAAGUUUUUUUUUUUUUUUUAAAAAAACAUCUUGGUCCAUUAAUCUUUUCUAUGGAUACUCGAUAUUAUGUGAAUUAUAUUUAUUGUACAAGUUGCUGCAAGAGUUACAAAUCCAUAGUCAAUUAACACCUGGCUAUCUCGAAACAGAAUCAAGCAAAACUAAUGUAACACCCCAUACUUUCAGACUUGAACGUAAAUUAUCAUUUCUACUUGUACACAUUCCAAAAACCAUAAAUCUAUUGUGAAUAUAGUGUUUUAAUCAACUAUGUGGUGUAUAAAUCUAGUUGAGCAUGAAUUGAGAUCAUAGAGGUCCCCGAACUCAAGGACGAGUUGAAAGCUUUUCCAUCGAUUGAGUUUUAGUAAGCGUCAAAACUUGGGUCAACUUAAAUUGGUCAUUAAUAUUUGUAUAUAUUGAAUUAGAGUUCAUACUAUAUAUCAAAUGAAAGGCCUUCGAAUUAUCUUUCUAACGAUACCAAUUUCGUAAAAAUCCGACACCCUAGGAAGAAGAUAUGGCUUUACAAAGUGGAGUAUGUCGUGCAGCAUAAGGUGUGCGACGCGCACCCUAACUUAUGCCAUCGGUGUGCGACGCACAGCCUAAUGUGUGCGAUAAAGAGUGCGCUGCACAACCUAUAUUAUGCAAUAAGGUGUGCACCGCAUACAUUACUACUCAAGUGACUUAAACACUCCAUUUUUGGGGCAAAAUGGUCCUUUUUCCACCCUUGUUUAGCCAUGAAAACGAAAUUCAGUUCCCAAAUACCAAAAAUAUACCUUCAUUCAUCAAAAUUGCUCAAGAACUCUCCCUAGGGUUUCAAAAUAAAAACCCAAGCAACUCAAGAUUCAACUGUGGGUUCUUGAAACUAAUUGCAUAUUUGGAAUCCCCAGAACGUAGGCUUCAAGAAACGCCUAUCAUCUUCGCAUAUAGAGGUACGUGGGGUUAUCCUAAAAUCUCAUGAGCCUUUAAAUUCAUGUUUUACAAUGGGGGUUUUGAAACUACGAAUAUAAUCAUGUUUUGAACGUUUCUAUAGUAUUGAUUUGGUCUUUAAGCCUAUUUCCGAAAUGAUUUGACAUAUUAUAUAUGUCUAUGCAUGUGUUUCGAAAAGGUGUUAAUUUGAGAGCAUGAAUUAUAUGGAAUUCCUCUCUUGAUGUGAAUUUGUUUUAAAUGUUCAUAUGAUGUAAAUUUUUUGAAAACAUCUUGAAAAGCAUGACAUGAAAUGUUUUGAGAAUUGAUAUGAUUUUGACUUGAAAAUGAGAGGGCUAUUUGUGUUGAAACAUGUUGAAUACCAUAGUUGAAUGAGAAGAAUGAUGUGAUAUUGAUGGCUUGUAAGUCGGGUAUGACGAUACCCUACAGAAUGUGAUAUGUGAUUGAAUCACAUGAAAUUUGAAUGCAUUGAUUUUACAUGAGAUAGGUGGAUGCCCGAAGAAGGCGUUUGAGUGUAAGGGCUCAUCACUGGAAAUCGUGUUUGUCGACAUGAGAAUUUGGUAUCCUUCUUUGUGAUCUUGCAUAACUAACUUUAUGUCAUUCCUAAGUUGGGACUAUGGUUAGGAGCCCUGCUUUGUGAUCUUGUGCACUACCAUUGGGUCGAGACAUCCUGCUGUGUGAUCUUGUGUGUCUUUCCUUCACUUAUACUCUAAUCUCGGCAGCAAUCGAUGUUUGACAGUUGGAGUAAAUGUGAUAUGUAGGGUAUUCCACCUAGCUCAGCUGUAAUACAUUGUUGUUGAAAAAAAUUACACUACGCCCACGUGUUUUCAAAUGAUUUGAUAUGAAACUGCUUUAUAAUGACUCUCAACUAUAUUUUGUAAAAAUAUUAUGUUUUGUUUUGAUAUCUCUGCGUACCAGUACGUUUGUACUAACCCCCUUCCCUCCCAGUUCGGAGGCAUAGUCUAGGCGUUCAGAAAAUUAGUAAAUUCCUCAGACAGAUCUGCAGAGUCACUUGGUGAGCCUUCUAUAUUUCGGAAGGCAUGAUAUCUGGCAGUUUCAUUUAUCAUUUAUUAGUUUUGGGUCUACUGGAAAUGAUUUCAUAUGAUUCUUGACCAUGUUUUCGUAAUAUUAUUUAUCUUCCGCAUUUCUUUUAUCAUAUGAGUUAUGUGCAUAAUUAUCAGACAAAUAGGGAUAUUUUGGGCCUUCAUGGUUCGGAAUGCUCGUCACGGCCAGGGCCCCGGUUCGGGUCGUGACAGCUAAACUAUACUACUAGCCUUUGAAUCAAUCCUCAUAAUCUAACCUAGCAUAGCACACUGUAACUCGUUUUACACCCUAUAAUUUGAUCUCACACAGCACGUAUAGGCAUUUUCUUUGUCUAAUUAAAACUUCCAGUCUCUAGCUAUCCUUUCGAAGAACAUAUUAUUUAUUUUGAUCCGUAUGACUUCUAGCUCUACGAAUUAAUUCAUGAAUGUAUUUAUUACCUUAAGAUAUGAUCUCCAAACUCAUAAGCUAUGCUAAAAACAACAUGUACAUUCCAAAGGCUCACUCCUGAUAAAGUUACGAAAAUCAUUCACUGAUGAAUUAAUUUGACUUAAUGAAUUAUGAUUCUACCUCCUAUGAGUCCUAAUGAUGAUAAUACUUGAUUAUGAGUUUAAGGUGGCUUAAUAUCAAAUAUGAACCCAAGUUGGUUAAUUCUUAGGCAUGAGCCUUAAAGUGGCUAAACUAUGAAUAUGAGCCUAAUAUGGCUAAUCUAUGAACAUGACUCAGUAAGAUAACAUUAUAAGUAUAAGGGAGUUGGUUAGCUGAAUGUGAAGGCAUAGGUCUAAAUAAAACAUGCCUGAAACUAUAUUUGGAGACUUAGGAUAGAGAUUAUUUCGCAAGUGGAUGACUCUUUUUUUUAUGUGUCCCGAAAAGGGGCUAACUAUGGAUACUUGCUAGCAAAUUAUGUCAUGUCACGUCCUAUGCCCGGCAAGGUAUAGGACGGCUUAGCUGAUCAGGCCGAGAUCAGACUCCAUGCGCUCACAUGGUGGUUUAUGAUGGUUCACUACUUUCUCCCACAAAUAAUCAAAGCAAUUAAAUCUACCUUAUUUGGUCUAUUAUAAAUUUAGUUUAUAUUCCUGUUCCUUUCCAGUUGUCCUCUUUUACGUUUGAAUUUUAUUGUCAUUUCUAAUCUCUUGAUGUACUACCCUCUUGAAAUGGUUUUGCAUACAAAUACAUUCCACGUAUUGACCGCCUUUGGCACUACAGCGUUUCAUGAUGUAGGUUCUGGAUCUCAUGUCCGUGGUCAGGUGCCUCAUUAGGAUCUCUAUCUUCUGCUAUUGGUGAGCCUCUUUCCUAUCAGGAGGUUGGACUAGAUAUGAUGACUUCAUUAUAUUUUCUUUUCUUUUAGUAUUGGUACUUAUUAGAGGUUUCACUGACUGAUUUAGUUGUCAGACAGAUCUUGUAAUUUUUAGUAUUAUUUGUCAUGACUAUUGUAUGUUCAGAUGUUAAGUGAUAUUAAUGAACAUUGAUGAAUGACUUAAUCCUUUAAGAAAUCUUAUUCUAUUCUGUUUCUUCUUUAUUAAUUAUGUUAUCUGUAUGCUCAUUGAUACGCCAAAAUGUUCGCUCGUACUAGCAAUAGUAUCGGGUGCGUUCCACGUCUACGGCCUCGUCUUGG